GUAAAAGAGAACAUUAUUGGCUUUUUAGUUAAUUUUUAUUAAUUUAAAUGGUUAGUUUUUAGGUGGAAUUUAUAACUAUGUUGUAAUAUUUUUAAUUAUAAUGAUGCUAUGAAACUUAUAAUAUAAACAAGGAUUAGMURCCCHUKUNNNNNNNNNAUUAANUUUUUNNNGGCCUGGUAGAUCCGGUAAGGUUCUUGAAACCCCAAGGAUUUGGCGGGAUUUUAGUCUUUUCANAGGAACCCUGCCCCUUAAUUCGACAUCCCACGAUUUCAUUUACUUUUGCUUGUUAUCCAGUUUGUAUAUCUCCGUCAUAAGAGAGUCUUUUUAGAGUAAAUUUUCUUUUCCUUUAAAUAAGAAUAUGUCAGGUCAAGGUGCAAUUUAUGUAAAAGUGGAGGUGGGUUACAAUAUAUUUAUAUAUAUGGAUUGAUAUUUUUGUAGUGUCAUGAAGGUGGAUUUGAUAGUAAGGCUGUUUUGUUUUAUCGGCUUGAUUCUAGCUCUAAAAUAUGCACACAUCGCCCGUCGCUCUCACUUUAAAGUGAGAUAAGUCGUAACAUAGUAGGCGUAUCGGAAGAUGCGCCUAGCAAGAAUUUAU
RNAcentral lists this ribosomal RNA (592 nucleotides) under Sympecma fusca. RNAcentral describes it as "partial 12S ribosomal RNA". Lineage: Eukaryota; Metazoa; Arthropoda; Insecta; Odonata; Lestidae. The record is from RNAcentral.